This 252-nucleotide ribosomal RNA is filed under the name uncultured bacterium. RNAcentral describes it as "partial 16S ribosomal RNA". It matches the Rfam family "Bacterial small subunit ribosomal RNA", at positions 524 to 776 of the family's 1533-position model. The record is from RNAcentral.
UACGUAGGGGGCGAGCGUUGUCCGGAUUUAUUGGGCGUAAAGGGUACGCAGGCGGCCAUGUAAAUCAGGUGUGAAAUUCUAUAGCUUAACUAUAGUAAACACUUGAAACUGUGUGGCUUGAGUUAAGGAGAGGAAAAUGGAAUUCCUAGUGUAGCAGUGAAAUGCGUAGAUAUUAGGAGGAAUACCAGUAGCGAAGGCGACUUUCUGGACUUAUACUGACGCUGAGGUACGAAAGCGUGGGGAGCAAACAGG